UUAAUGAAGAAAUAUAUCAGAAUUUUAUUUGUUUUUCACUAUAAAUUUUAGAAGUAUUGGCGGUAUUUGGUUAAAUUCUGAGGAACUUGUCUAUUUAAAUUGAUAUUACUCAUUAAAUUUUAUCUAUAAUUUUUUUUUAUGUAUUGCUGUUUAAUUUAUUAUUUAUUAUUUUAAUAAAUAGAAUUAUUAGUUAUGGUAAGAAACUCAAGUCAAAAUGUAGAUUUUUAUAGGUUUAGAUGAGUUACUUUAUAUUGAAAUGUGAAACUGUAAAGUUAAAUUGAAAUUAUUGAUGAUUUGAAGGUUGGAUUAGGGAGUAAAAAGAGAAUAAUUUGUUUUUUUGAUAAUUUAUACUAAUAUGU
Molecule: ribosomal RNA, 359 nt
Filed under: Draculoides brooksi
Lineage: Eukaryota; Metazoa; Arthropoda; Arachnida; Schizomida; Hubbardiidae
Description: partial small subunit ribosomal RNA
Source: RNAcentral